RNAcentral lists this ribosomal RNA (919 nucleotides) under uncultured bacterium. Its description in RNAcentral is "bacterial SSU rRNA". It matches the Rfam family "Bacterial small subunit ribosomal RNA", at positions 8 to 916 of the family's 1533-position model. The record is from RNAcentral.
AGAGUUUGAUCCUGGCUCAGGAUGAACGCUAGCGAUAGGCCUAACACAUGCAAGUCGAGGGGCAGCACUGGCGAGUAGCAAUACUUGCCUGGUGGCGACCGGCGGAUGGGUGAGUAACACGUAUGCAACCUGCCUACAACAAGGGCAUAACUCCGGGAAAUCGGUGCUAAUUCCCUAUAACACAGGGGCCCCGCAUGGGGAUAUUUGUUAAAGAUUAAUCGGUUGUAGAUGGGCAUGCGUUCCAUUAGCUAGUUGGUGAGGUAAUGGCUCACCAAGGCAACGAUGGAUAGGGGAACUGAGAGGUUUAUCCCCCACACUGGUACUGAGACACGGACCAGACUCCUACGGGAGGCAGCAGUGAGGAAUAUUGGUCAAUGGAGGCAACUCUGAACCAGCCACGUCGCGUGAAGGAAGACGGCCCUACGGGUUGUAAACUUCUUUUGUAAGGGAAUAAAGUGAGUCACGCGUGACUUUUUGCAUGUACCUUACGAAUAAGGAUCGGCUAACUCCGUGCCAGCAGCCGCGGUAAUACGGAGGAUCCGAGCGUUAUCCGGAUUUAUUGGGUUUAAAGGGUGCGCAGGCGGGAGACUCAGUCGGUGGUGAAAUCUUGCAGCUCAACUGUAAGCGUGCCAUUGAUACUGGUCUUCUUGAGUGUGGAUGAAGUAGGCGGAAUUUGUGGUGUAGCGGUGAAAUGCAUAGAUAUCACGAGGAACUCCGAUUGCGUAGGCAGCUUACUAAACCAUAACUGACGCUCAUGCACGAAGGCGUGGGGAUCAAACAGGAUUAGAUACCCUGGUAGUCCACGCGGUAAACGAUGAUUACUGGCUGUUUGCGAUACACAGUAAGCGGCCCAGCGAAAGCGUUAAGUAAUCCACCUGGGGAGUACGUUCGCAAGAAUGAAACUCAAAGGAAUUGACGG